This is an RNA transcript of Quercus lobata, 2141 nucleotides long. It is a transcript of the gene named microtubule-associated protein 70-1-like, with no coding region annotated. Lineage: Eukaryota; Viridiplantae; Streptophyta; Magnoliopsida; Fagales; Fagaceae. The transcript is spliced from 3 exons. The record is from RefSeq and is a predicted model, not a curated record.
GUCAUGUGCAACGCACAUGACCCCUUUAACUGAAGAGCUGUUAACCCUAACAGCGUUAACCACAGUUUCUUCUCAAGACACACACCUCACGCCUCUCUCUCAUCUCCUCCACCUUUGUCUUGGUUUUCUCAGCAAACUCAGACCGGCAAACUCUUGUGAGGAGGAAUCGACGGCGGCCACGUGCAGCAGCCGCCGAUCUCACCGAACCAACUGGACAGCCCCUCUCUCUCUCUCGCUCGCUCCUCAAACCCGCGUCUCAACCUGAGGUUCUGAGGUUAUUCGGAAAUAAAGAAAUAUAAACUAUUGGAAGAGGAAGGAAUCGCGAUGGAAGCCGAGAUGAUGAAUUUGGAUUUAUCAAAGGAAGCCGAGUCACUGCCAUCUGAAUCUGAUUUACUGCCGGGGCCAUCAGAAAGGUACAAACUCUACAUUUUAUUCUUGCACGUAUAUAGCCCAGUCAUGUAUACCUUGUAUGAGGUUGACAUGCCUCUCCAUCCUCCACCAUUGAGUGCAGUACAAGACGAUAAAAUACGGAAUCCAAGGCCGCUUACCCGAAUCCUCCAACUUAAAACCGGCAAAUACGCUGAUGAAAUGUGUUGUGUUCAAUUGGGCUCCAUGUUGUAUUUUUUGGGUGGUGAAAAUUUGGAUAUCGAUGACCCAUACAUUGAUGAAGAUGUAAAGAAGGAGCUCGCUGUCCGGGAUUUUUUUCCGAAAGACGUCUAUUGUUUUGAGCUAGCCAAUGACCACAACUGCCGUGAACUGAAAGCCAGUACUGCGAUGAACUGUGGGAAGGCCAGCCCCCUGGCCUUUGUGGCCGAUGAGAAGAUUUACGUGAUUGGAUGCAGCCGCUGGGACUCAGAUGAAAACUUUGCUUACUUUGAGAUGUUUGAUCCUAAAGUUGAUAACUGGAUCAUCCUGCCAAAUCCUCCUCCCCAGAUAAGGAACGUGAACACUAUAUGGGUGGGGCAUGUUGUUGUGGGAAGAAAGGCUCUCUUUACAGCCUUGCUGCCGCACGAAACAGAGCGCCUAUAUUGUUUUGAUCUCGACACACAUAAAUGGGCAAACACAAGCAUCCCUGACUAUCUUGGUAAUUUCUCCGGCGACACUCAGUUUGUAGGGCGUAGGCUUUAUGGAUUUCAAUACGAAAAGGUAGCUGCAUUAGUCCCAUUAGAAGAAGAAGAAGAAAAGGAGGAGGAGGUGGAGGAGGAGGAGGAGGAGGAGGAAGAGGAAGCAGAAGAUAAGGAGCUUCAACAAUUGUUUAAGCAUCACCGCCUUCAUCAAGUCUCAGAGGAGAUGGGUAUGGAUGCUAUUUUUAAUGUUCCUCCGCAGGUGCAAUACUCAGCAAGCCUGCUUCACUUGGGAAAGAUGUACUUUUGUUAUGUAAGGACUGGCAUGCCUCCGCAUCCGGAUCCGAAUUUUGGCAAUGGUUUCGUUACAGGAAACGACAAAAAACGUUUCAUUAGCAUUGUAAUUUUUCAAGCCGUCAGGGAGACAUACGAAAAAAAUGGCACUAGAUUUUCCAAGGCAAAUUUCCUUCAUUCGGAGCACUAUGAAGUUAAUACCCCCUUCCCAAAUCGAGGUUUCAUCAAAGGCUGCUAUGUUCUUGGCUCGGGAUACCCAGAGUCGAGUAAACAGAUCAGCGUCUAAGGUGGGGUGGGGCUGCCGGCAAUCUUGGGCAGAAGAUGUCCAAGCGCAUUUCGAUUGCCUUGGUCACUCUCAAUCCUGAGGAGAACAAAAUCCUGGACAAAAUGCAUCGGCAGAAGGUUGCAGAGGUUGAAAAGCUAACCCAAACUGUUCGUGAGCUUGAGAAGGUUCUUUUGGCUGGUGCUGGUGCUGCUAAUGCUGUGUGUGAUUAUCAAAGAAAAGUGCAAGAGAUGAAUGUAAUGACUGUUACCUUUGGAAUUUUCAGUUCUACAAAACAACAACUGGUAGUCUGGUAGUCAUUUUGAAUGUGUUAGAAAUGCUCCAAAUUGCUUCUAACCUUCAAGCUUGAAUAGGAGGAGAGAAAACUUUAGAACGGGAAGUGGCUCGUGCAAAGUUUACUGCAAAUCAUGUUGCCACUGUAGUUGCAAAUGAGUGGAAAGAUGCCAAUGACAAAGUGAUGCCUGUUAAGCAAUGGCUUGAGGAAAGAAAAUUUUUUCAGG